This 187-nucleotide ribosomal RNA is filed under the name Phyllosticta capitalensis. Its description in RNAcentral is "5.8S ribosomal RNA". The stretch from base 3 to 156 matches the Rfam family "5.8S ribosomal RNA". Rfam says of the family: 5.8S ribosomal RNA (5.8S rRNA) is a component of the large subunit of the eukaryotic ribosome. It is transcribed by RNA polymerase I as part of the 45S precursor that also contains 18S and 28S rRNA. The record is from RNAcentral. Lineage: Eukaryota; Fungi; Ascomycota; Dothideomycetes; Botryosphaeriales; Phyllostictaceae.
AAAACUUUCAACAACGGAUCUCUUGGUUCUGGCAUCGAUGAAGAACGCAGCGAAAUGCGAUAAGUAAUGUGAAUUGCAGAAUUCAGUGAAUCAUCGAAUCUUUGAACGCACAUUGCGCCCUCUGGUAUUCCGGAGGGCAUGCCUGUUCGAGCGUCAUUUCAACCCUCAAGCUCUGCUUGGUAUUGGG